UUAUGCAUGGUUUCUAUUUUUCUUUUUUUAGAAGAACACAAUAUAUGAUUGGCCAUGCUUUCUAUUUACAGCUAAAGAUCAGCAAAAUAAGGCUACAAAUAGUUGGUCAAUGGACCAAAGAAAUAAAGUUGGAGUAGAUGGACCAUUAAGAUUGUCAGACAUUAAGCUGGUGUUCCAUGCACAACAGUUCCUUUCGAAGAAAGAAAAUUGAAGCUUUUUCUUUCCAUGUUUCUUUGUUCAGUUUUUUUUAUACGUUUGGAGCUUCGUAAAGUUGGCACAAGUGCUGGCUGAUUGUUGCUGGAGCUAUUUGAAUGUUGCCCAAUCUUCAUUGCUUACUUCUAAUGUUGUAACUAUUUCCAUUGAAUUUUGAUUUUUUUUUUUCUUCCUAAUGCUUGUAGGAAAAUAUCAAUUGUCUACUCGGUACAUAGAGAUAGGUAAUUUCUUCUUCUACACUUUCUUUUUGUUCAAAAUAUUUGGGUAAAAGUUUCCUGACUUUGACAUGUAAUUUACCUACUAUCCUUUUAUCCUAGCUACCAUCUUCCUCUUGC
Molecule: long non-coding RNA, 548 nt
Organism: Gossypium raimondii (Peruvian cotton)
Lineage: Eukaryota; Viridiplantae; Streptophyta; Magnoliopsida; Malvales; Malvaceae
Exons: 2
Source: RefSeq, a predicted model, not a curated record